AACAUCAUUCCUCAAAGAGAAAGAAAUGGAAGGGUGCAUGAGCGAAAGAGCUUCUAUCCUCUGCCUGACCUUCUCAAACUCCAGUCUAGGAUCCAUGCAUUUCCUCCUUACAGGCCGAACCCCUGCCGCCCGACGGAAGAGGCCUCCCGGAGCCCCUGCACAGCCGGGUCCGAGGAACGCUCGCGGCGGUCGCCACGGCCUUUCCGCUAUUAGAAGGGCUCCCGGAAUCAUCCUUUCGACGCGUGCUUUUCCCCCAAGUCACCUCGAACCGCGCUUCACCAACUCCCAGUUACCCACCGCCUCGGACGCCGGGCACGCGCACGUUCGCUCGCGAGGCUCGCGCACGCGCCACGAGCAUGCGCUUCUGGGAACGCGCUUGCGCGUCUGGGAACGCGCUUUCGUCGGUGACACCCAAAUGCGCGUGCGUACCAGCUGUUGUCUGACUAGGCGGGGUCUCUUCACACUGGUACCCCUAGUUCUCAAUCCUUAUCCCCCUUUCGCAUGGCGUGAGAAGCCGUUUCAAGCAGUUUUCUCUUGUUUCUGUCGUUUUCCUUCCCCCUUUCCUCCUUUGCACCUACUACCAUUUAAUUCAAUUAUAUUUUAUUUGUGUUUAUGUCUUCUCUCACUAUAAUGCAAACUAUUUGAAGGCAGGGAUUUUAUCCAUUCUGUUUACUGCUGUAUCCCGCUGGCCAAAAACAGUGCCUGGACGGUGAGGCACUCGAUGGGUGAAUAAAUCCACACCCUUCCAUCUUACAGAA
Long non-coding RNA from Leopardus geoffroyi (Geoffroy's cat), 758 nucleotides. RefSeq lists it as uncharacterized. The transcript is spliced from 2 exons. The record is from RefSeq and is a predicted model, not a curated record. NCBI's taxonomy places the organism in Eukaryota, Metazoa, Chordata, Mammalia, Carnivora, Felidae.